GUCGCACUUAUCCACCCCGGCGGUGCCGAGCCCGCCAGGUUUGGCUCCAACUCUCAUGAGGCCGCAUUUCAUUUCAAAAGAAAGAAGACAACUCUCCUGAGGCCGAAAUUUCAGAUCCGCUCUUCUUUGCCCCAACCAUUGCAGCGGCCGACUCGCCGUCCAUCCGCUCAUGGAGAAGAUCUCCGUCGCCGUCCGCUUCCGCCCGCCCAAGUCUUCGGUCGAUGCCGACGCCGACUCGCCCUCCUUCUCGGGCGGCGGCGCUGUCGGGAACCGCGAGUGGCGCAUCGACGACUCCGGGAUCUCCCUCCUCCACCGCGCCGUCCCCGUCCCCGGCACCUCCUUCGUCUUCGACCACGUGUUCAACGAGUCUGUGACCAACGCGCGGAUCUACGGCCUGCUCGUCCGCUCCCUCAUCCGUGGUGCCGUAGAUGGCUUCAACGGCACUGCCUUCGCCUACGGCCAGACCAGCAGUGGCAAGACGUUUACCAUGAACGGCUCCGGUGCUGACCCUGGGAUCAUCCCGCUCGCUGUUCGCGACAUCUUUGACACAGCGGCCGAGGCUGCAGACAGGGAGUUCCUGAUCAGGGUCUCAUACAUGGAGAUUUAUAAUGAGGAGAUCAAUGACCUCCUGACACUCGGGAGCGAGAAGCUGCCAAUUCAUGAGAGCCUCGAGCGUGGUGUAUAUGUGUCGGGUCUGCGGGAAGAAAUUGUUAACAAUGCUGAACAAGUGCUACAACUCCUUGAGCUUGGAGAAGCAAAUAGACAUUUCGGAGAAACAAACAUGAAUGUCCGGAGCAGCCGGUCCCAUACUAUUUUUCGGAUGGUAAUUGAAAGCAGUGCUAAGCACCAGACGAACUCUGAAGAUGCAAUCCGUGUGUCUAUUUUGAACUUGGUCGAUUUAGCUGGGUCAGAAAGAAUCGCCAAGACAGGAGCUGAUGGUGUGCGGCUUAAGGAAGGGAAGCAUAUUAAUAAGAGCUUGAUGAUUCUCGGUAAUGUCAUCAAUAAGUUGAGUGAGAAUGGAAAGCAAAGAGGGCACAUCCCUUAUCGUGAUAGUAAGUUGACUCGCAUCCUCCAGUCUGCACUUGGAGGCAAUGCAAAGACAUCAAUCAUUUGCACGGCUGCACCUGAAGAGAUUCAUAUUGAGGAAACUAGAGGAACUCUUCAAUUUGCAAGUAGAGCAAAAUGUGUCAGCAAUUGUGCUCAAGUAAAUGAGAUUCUAACAGAUGCUGCUCUGCUGAAGAGGCAAAAACUGGAAAUAGAGGAACUUCGCAAAAAGCUGCAGGGUUCCCAUUCUGAAGUCUUGGAGCAGCUUAUCCUAAAGCAACGCAAUGACAUGCAUAAGUCUGAACUCGAGCGUGAUCGUCUAGCAAUGGAACUUGAAGAGGAAAGGAGGUUAAGGGAGACAUUAGAGCACCGGUUGGCUGAGCAAAAGAUGUCACAGAACCACAACGAUACCGACAUAUCAGUAGAGCAAUUUGCUGAUUCUAGCCAGCUAGACAUAUUAAAAACUCCAGAUUCUAAGCGGACACCAGAUGGAUUUGUUGCUAGCCGCUCACGCUAUUUGAAGGAUGCAGAGUUCAGCCCAAUACCUGAAAAUUUAGGUUCUGUAGCUGAUGAGGAUCUCUGGAUGCAAUUGAAUAAAGGAUGCAUCACUGAUCUUGAUAUGCUUGAAAUGACAUCUGAUUUUAAAUGUCCUCCAUUCCCAGAAGAUACGACAGCGGUUGUGCCAUUAGAGGAGCCUAUUGACGUGAGAUGCCUUAGGCUAGAAACUGCAUGCAGCUCCGAUAGGCAACAGCUCGAGGAUUCAAAAGCAAGAUGCACAACUCUCGAGAAGGAGCUUGAGCUGCUCAAGGAGGAAAACUCAUCCUUGCGACAAGAGCUCUCCAAGUCGAAGCACGACACAGAUCAUGAGAAAGAGGGACUGAUUAAGGAGCUGGAGACCGAGAGGUCCAAGAUGGAGGAGCUCAAGCAGGAUAUCAGGCUCUUUAGCCAGGCCUUCUCACAGAGGCAGGGUCAUCUGACGUCUCUGCACACCAAAUCCAAGGCCAUAGUGGAGAACUGCAAGGCCUCUCGGGUGGCAUUGCCCUGAUGAGAGCCUCAGCUGCUGUGGAAGUUUUCCCAUUUCUGCAACACUGCUUUACUGUAGAUUUCGUGGUGCUUGUAAUACAAGUGUGCGUGUCGUGUGUGUGCAGUGUGCUGGGUUUUCUAAUUCAGUCGUUAUCAUUAAGUGUGUGUAAGCAAGAUCUGGAAACCGGUGUGGGUAUACCUAGGAAAAGGGCAUCGGUUUUAUUUGUCAUUAGGAAUCUGAAAAGUGUCAAAUGUAGUUGACACAUGAUUGUCCUAUGUUAGUUAAUGUAACUAGCAAAUGUGCCCCUGCGUUACUACGGAAGAAACAAAUGCUUACCUGCUGUCGUAU
Molecule: ribosomal RNA, 2416 nt
Filed under: Triticum aestivum (bread wheat)
Lineage: Eukaryota; Viridiplantae; Streptophyta; Magnoliopsida; Poales; Poaceae
Description: partial small subunit ribosomal RNA
Source: RNAcentral